AUACGUAGGGGGCGAGCGUUGUCCGGAAUGAUUGGGCGUAAAGGGCGCGCAGGCGGCGCGGUAAGUCUGGAGUGAAAGUCCUGCUUUCAAGGUGGGAAUUGCUUUGGAUACUGCCGCGCUUGAGUGCAGGAGAGGUUAUCGGAAUUCCCGGUGUAGCGGUGAAAUGCGUAGAGAUCGGGAGGAACACCAGUGGCGAAGGCGGGUAACUGGACUGCAACUGACGCUGAGGCGCGAAAGUGUGGGGAGCAAACAGGAUUAGAUACCCUGGUAGUCCACACUGUAAACGAUGAAUGCUAGGUGUAAGAGGUAUCGACCCCUUUUGUGCCGGAGUCAACACAAUAAGCAUUCCGCCUGGGGAGUACGGCCGCAAGGUUGAAACUCAAAUGAAUUGACGGGG
RNAcentral lists this ribosomal RNA (397 nucleotides) under uncultured bacterium. Its description in RNAcentral is "partial 16S ribosomal RNA". It matches the Rfam family "Bacterial small subunit ribosomal RNA", at positions 523 to 918 of the family's 1533-position model. The record is from RNAcentral.